GCCCCCGUAGCCAAGCGGAAAGGCGCCGGAUUACGAAUCCGGCCAAUCGGCGGUUCGAGUCCGCCCGGGGGUUCCA
The sequence is a transfer RNA, 76 nucleotides long. It matches the Rfam family "tRNA". From Rfam's summary of the family: Transfer RNA (tRNA) molecules are approximately 80 nucleotides in length. Their secondary structure includes four short double-helical elements and three loops (D, anti-codon, and T loops).